RNAcentral lists this ribosomal RNA (428 nucleotides) under uncultured archaeon. RNAcentral describes it as "bacterial SSU rRNA". It matches the Rfam family "Archaeal small subunit ribosomal RNA", at positions 474 to 903 of the family's 1478-position model. The record is from RNAcentral.
UACCAGCUCUCCGAGUGGUGUGGAUGUUUAUUGGGCCUAAAGCAUCCGUAGCUGGCUGGGCAAGUCCCCUGUUAAAUCCACGAUUUAAUCGUUGGUGUGCGGGAGAUACUGUUCGGCUAGGGGACGGGAGAGGCCGACGGUAUUUUCGGGGUAGGGGUGAAAUCCUAUAAUCCCGGGAAGACCACCAGUGGCGAAGGCUGUCGGCUAGAACGCGCCCGACGGUGAGGGAUGAAAGCUGGGGGAGCGAACCGGAUUAGAUACCCGGGUAGUCCCAGCUGUAAACGAUGCAGGCUAGGUGUUUGGGCGGCCACGUGCCGCUCUAGUGCCGCAGAGAAGUCGUUAAGCCUGCCGCCUGGGGAGUACGGCCGCAAGGCUGAAACUUAAAGGAAUUGGCGGGGGAGCACUACAAGGGGUGAAGCUUGCGGUUU